GCCAGAGGCUACAGAAAUCGAGUCGGUCUGUGCCAUGAUUCAUAGGUGUUAUGAGUUUGUGGUGUCUAAUACUAUAUUAAGCUCCAAAACACAUCCUCACAUGAACACAAUAUCAUUGGUUAAUCUAAUAAAACAUGGUUUGAGUUGUUCGUUAUUAUAAGGGUGGGUAUGUGCCUACUUCCCAACUGGUAAUGCAUGUGCUCAAUGGUGAACAUUUAUAUAAGCAAUAAAAUGUUAAUG
Pelobates cultripes (western spadefoot toad) is the source of this 240-nucleotide non-coding RNA. The record is from the annotation of a GenBank genome assembly. NCBI's taxonomy places the organism in Eukaryota, Metazoa, Chordata, Amphibia, Anura, Pelobatidae.